Molecule: non-coding RNA, 72 nt
Organism: Arachnomyces sp. PD_36
Lineage: Eukaryota; Fungi; Ascomycota; Eurotiomycetes; Onygenales; Arachnomycetaceae
Source: the annotation of a GenBank genome assembly
UCGGGUAUAGUCUAACGGUUAGGAUAGCUCGCUCUCACCGAGCAGGUCGGGGUUCGAUUCCCCGUACCCGAG